AGACAUACACACCUAAAAUUAUAAAACAGCACCAGGUGAAGGGGGAGCCCAGAAAGAGACUCUGAGUGUCCUGGGGACAUCAGGGGAGGCCUUUUGGGGAUUAGGGUGGGGGGUGGGCUUGAAGGCAGCUCUUGGACAGAGGCUUCAGGGAGUAGGAGUUUGUUUGGCUGACCAGGCUUGUUGGGUCCAAGAGGAGGAAAUAAUAUGGAUGUUCCAUGGGGUCAAGAAUGGCAUCUCCCUGCAGGCUAAGACCGUGUAUUUUGAAGACCAUAGAGAGGUGUUGUUCCCAUACUUCUUAGUCAACGCAUGCCACUAACUGAUGAAGGUGGAUAGCGUUCUAAGCAUCCAGGAGCAGGUCAAAGGGCAUUUGGUGACGGUGGUGGAUGGUGAUGCAGUGCUGUGAUCGUGGUAAGGCAGUAACAUGAUUAAGAAGUGGACGACUGGAGUCUUCUGCUGCACGCUGUCCCUCUGCUUCCACCUUGCCUUCUCAUUUCCUUUUCUUUCCCGAUGCCCGCCCUCCUGCCUGCCUUCUUCACUCCCCUUUGUCUCUGUGGAGCACAGAGAGACAUGCUGGUUCUCACUGCUUGCUUUCCUCAUUCCCCCAACGCCCCUGGGUCCAAGGUUUGGUCUGGCUUGACCGAGGGGGGGCUGCUUCCGCACACGUGAUACCAGCAGCGUGGGGCAUGGCGGCCCUGCUGUGGCCUUGCUUGCUCCCCUGAUUAUUUCUCCUUAAUUGAGCGUAAAGAAUGUGAGGAAUGUGGUGUAGACCACGUGAGGAGGGCUGCUGCAGCCCUCUCAGGGACCCGGAUGCUGAGCUCUGGAUGGGAGAACUGCAGAUGGCCGCUGAACCCCACAUAGUGUGUGUCAUUCCUGGCCCCCAUCCUCCUCCCCAUGGUGCUGGGUCCACUUCUGCAAACUUUGGUGGAAAUCUAAAAGCUAUGUUUCUGGCUAUCCCUCAACCUUGCUUGACUGCUGGGAAUCCUGUGCCUGGGCUGUGGGAAGAUGUGAGUCCAGGUGUGAAGCCUGGGUGCUUGCCUGUCAGGAAGGCAGCCAGGUGAGUCACAGCUGGAGCGUGACAGUGAGAACUGGAGGGAAGUGCUACAUGCAUCUCCUCCUACACUUUCCUCUGCCCACUCAGGGUCCAGCCUCCGAUUCUCAGGUGGAGUGUGACAUGAGGAGGAAGCUCAGGUUGAACACUCAGUCCUGGCCCUGUCCAGUUGUCUAGUAGCUCUGUGACCUCAGGUGAAUGUUUUUAUCCUCUCUGAGGCUGUUCCCUCAUGUUUAAGAUGAUGGUGGUAAUUCCAUGCUUGCAGAGUCGUAAAGAUGAAAUUAGAUGGGCUGAAGCGUCUGAAGCGCAUGGUAGGUGCUCAGGAAGUAUUAGUUUGGCUCUUCGGAGGAGACUGGACGAAGGGGGUGAAUUUUUCUAAAAGAGGCUUUGUUUCCUGUGGCAAAUGCAGUAGGCCAUGCCGGGAGAGCCUCAGAGGGGCAGGGUGAUGCCGAGAAACCCAGUGCUAGGACUUCUACCCAGAG
This 1530-nucleotide long non-coding RNA is filed under the name Equus caballus (horse). RNAcentral describes it as "lncRNA (ENSECAG00000057380.1)". Lineage: Eukaryota; Metazoa; Chordata; Mammalia; Perissodactyla; Equidae. The record is from RNAcentral.